AGAGUUUGAUCCUGGCUCAGGACGAACGCUGGCGGCGUGCUUAACACAUGCAAGUCGAGCGAUGAAGCUUCCUUCGGGAAGUGGAUUAGCGGCGGACGGGUGAGUAACACGUGGGUAACCUGCCUCAAAGUGGGGGAUAGCCUUCCGAAAGGAAGAUUAAUACCGCAUAAUAUAAGAGAAUCGCAUGAUUUUUUUAUCAAAGAUUUAUUGCUUUGAGAUGGACCCGCGGCGCAUUAGCUAGUUGGUAAGGUAACGGCUUACCAAGGCAACGAUGCGUAGCCGACCUGAGAGGGUGAUCGGCCACAUUGGAACUGAGACACGGUCCAGACUCCUACGGGAGGCAGCAGUGGGGAAUAUUGCGCAAUGGGGGAAACCCUGACGCAGCAACGCCGCGUGGGUGAUGAAGGUCUUCGGAUUGUAAAGCCCUGUUUUCUAGGACGAUAAUGACGGUACUAGAGGAGGAAGCCACGGCUAACUACGUGCCAGCAGCCGCGGUAAUACGUAGGUGGCGAGCGUUGUCCGGAUUUACUGGGCGUAAAGGGUGCGUAGGCGGAUGUUUAAGUGGGAUGUGAAAUCCCCGGGCUUAACCUGGGGGCUGCAUUCCAAACUGGAUAUCUAGAGUGCAGGAGAGGAAAGCGGAAUUCCUAGUGUAGCGGUGAAAUGCGUAGAGAUUAGGAAGAACACCAGUGGCGAAGGCGGCUUUCUGGACUGUAACUGACGCUGAGGCACGAAAGCGUGGGUAGCAAACAGGAUUAGAUACCCUGGUAGUCCACGCCGUAAACGAUGGAUACUAGGUGUAGGGGGUAUCAACUCCCCCUGUGCCGCAGUUAACACAAUAAGUAUCCCGCCUGGGGAGUACGGUCGCAAGAUUAAAACUCAAAGGAAUUGACGGGGGCCCGCACAAGCAGCGGAGCAUGUGGUUUAAUUCGAAGCAACGCGAAGAACCUUACCUGGACUUGACAUCCCUUGCAUAGCCUAGAGAUAGGUGAAGCCCUUCGGGGCAAGGAGACAGGUGGUGCAUGGUUGUCGUCAGCUCGUGUCGUGAGAUGUUAGGUUAAGUCCUGCAACGAGCGCAACCCUUGUUAUUAGUUGCUACCAUUAAGUUGAGCACUCUAAUGAGACUGCCUGGGUAACCAGGAGGAAGGUGGGGAUGACGUCAAAUCAUCAUGCCCCUUAU
This 1177-nucleotide ribosomal RNA is filed under the name Clostridium botulinum. RNAcentral describes it as "bacterial SSU rRNA". It matches the Rfam family "Bacterial small subunit ribosomal RNA", at positions 8 to 1205 of the family's 1533-position model. Lineage: Bacteria; Bacillati; Bacillota; Clostridia; Eubacteriales; Clostridiaceae. The record is from RNAcentral.